AUUUAAGGAAAAGUACAGUCAGUGUCGCCAUAAUGUAUGUCAGAACAGUAAAGGCACAAGGUGUCACUUUUGGUUAUUUUUAAUUAAUUGAAAAUGAAUAAUGCAGUAACAUGAAAUACAUUAUUUACAAGCUUUCAUCUUACGAGAGGAUUCAAAGCGUAUUUCAGAUGCAAUUAUUUAUAGCAGGGGUAUUUGCAUAAUCAAAAGCCAGUGGAGCACAGAGAUAUCGAAAAGGAAAGGCAGGCAGGCAGUCAGCUUGGUUUAGCCGUAUACUGUAAAGCUGCCAUUCAUCCGUAUGCAGCCAGCCUAGCUAUUGUUAACGCCAAUGCUCACAACAUCAGUCAUAUUAAUCUUGUGGCCGACAGAAUUUCUGCUGUGUGUUGUUAGCAUCAAUGGCAUUAGCAAUUAAGAUGACAUAAGUGCAAUGUAGCUAGCUAGCAUUAGCAUCUUUGUAGAAGUCUGCUGAACAUUAUAUGGGAUGGGUAGAGAGAUAUGUUGGAAAAACGCAAAUCAACAAAUGUUUACUAUUUUGUCCUUUAAUAUGUUUGCGCCGAUAUGUUUUUAAAAAUGUAUUUUAUACAUGUAGGCUACAGUAUGUAUUAUCUACGUCCAUUAUCUGUGUGUAAGUAACAAUGUGUGGUUAUGAGACAAACUAAAAUGUUUUAUGCAAGUUUGGAUGUUACUGUACAAUAGGCUUUGUUCCUCAUUCAUUUUAGUGUCCUUCAAUCCAUUCAACGUUUUGCUCAAACAAUACCAUAAUUAUAUAUGUCCCAUUCACACUUCCCAUUAACAAACAAACCCAUCAUAAAAACACAUUUGGUGUGGGAGCUUACAAUACACUGACUGUCAUUAACGUCCUAUUAAGCCGACAUUGAUCCAGUCAUGUUCAGAAGGUAAUGGCAUGGACAGUGAGACAUAGCUAAUGUACUGGUAGGAGUGAGACCAUGUCUGUGACCACCUCCAUGCAGGCUGCUAAAGGGAGGGGCACUGUGGCAGAGCACAACAUGUCCACUCCUCACAACGACGCUCAAGUGGCAAUGCAUGAUUUCAUUAAAAAGGGCCCAACCAUGACAUUCAACAAUGGAUUAUUAGCCCAUAUUAUGGCUGGCUGAUCGUUUAUCAGCAAGGAUGCAGGGGGCUGACCACAUCCUUAUAAACGGUGAACCAGUGGAAAGAGGAGUCAAUAAUUAUUUGGUGUGUGUAUGUGUGUGACAUGCAAAAAGCAGGAGAUGCACUGAAAUGCACUGCAAUGUCAUAUGUUUGAUGCAGAUUGAAACAGCAUCUAAAGGGGCAGGCUGUCGUCACUGUGUAAGAUGAGCAGCCAUACCUACUGAUGUGGUCCACAUAGCUUUGGUCACUGCCUGCCAGAUUGCACUUGUAUUAUUACAACAUGAGCCCUCUGCACAGAAAGAAGGCACAUAAAAAAAACGGGCACGCUGGGCUGGUGUAAAAUAUGCUGAUUGCUCG
RNAcentral lists this long non-coding RNA (1467 nucleotides) under Salmo salar (Atlantic salmon). RNAcentral describes it as "lncRNA (ENSSSAG00000083644.1)". Lineage: Eukaryota; Metazoa; Chordata; Actinopteri; Salmoniformes; Salmonidae. The record is from RNAcentral.